GUGGCUAAACCUCCUCGUCAAUGCCCAAUCUUGUAUGAUCUUGGAAGAUGAGCAGGGUUGGGAUUGGUUAGCGCUUGGACGGGAAACAGUUGGGAACAGCAGGUGUCACAAUGA
Molecule: ribosomal RNA, 114 nt
Filed under: Periophthalmus magnuspinnatus
Lineage: Eukaryota; Metazoa; Chordata; Actinopteri; Gobiiformes; Gobiidae
Source: RNAcentral